This 500-nucleotide ribosomal RNA is filed under the name uncultured bacterium. RNAcentral describes it as "partial 16S ribosomal RNA". It matches the Rfam family "Bacterial small subunit ribosomal RNA", at positions 30 to 523 of the family's 1533-position model. The record is from RNAcentral.
AUUGAACGCUGGCGGCAUGCUUUACACAUGCAAGUCGAACGGCAGCACAAACUUCGGUUUGGUGGCGAGUGGCGAACGGGUGAGUAAUGCAUCGGAACGUGUCCUGAAGUGGGGGAUAACGCAUCGAAAGAUGCGCUAAUACCGCAUAAUCUCUGAGGAGAAAAGUGGGGGAUCGAAAGACCUCAUGCUUUUGGAGCGGCCGAUGUCUGAUUAGCUAGUUGGUAGGGUAAUGGCCUACCAAGGCGACGAUCAGUAGUUGGUCUGAGAGGAUGGCCAGCCACACUGGGACUGAGACACGGCCCAGACUCCUACGGGAGGCAGCAGUGGGGAAUUUUGGACAAUGGGCGAAAGCCUGAUCCAGCAAUGCCGCGUGAGUGAAGAAGGCCUUCGGGUUGUAAAGCUCUUUCAGUUGAGAAGAAAAAAUUGUGACUAAUACUUGCAAUUCAUGACAGUAUCAACAGAAGAAGCACCGGCUAACUACGUGCCAGCCGCCGCUGUAA